AACAUAAGUAUAGGGUAAAAUGGCUGAGUAAGCAUUAGACUGUAAAUCUAAAGACAGGGGUCAAAUCCUCUUUUUGCC
RNAcentral lists this transfer RNA (78 nucleotides) under Microcebus arnholdi (Arnhold's mouse lemur). RNAcentral's name for it is "tRNA-Tyr". The stretch from base 14 to 78 matches the Rfam family "tRNA". From Rfam's summary of the family: Transfer RNA (tRNA) molecules are approximately 80 nucleotides in length. Their secondary structure includes four short double-helical elements and three loops (D, anti-codon, and T loops). Lineage: Eukaryota; Metazoa; Chordata; Mammalia; Primates; Cheirogaleidae. The record is from RNAcentral.